This 531-nucleotide long non-coding RNA is filed under the name Homo sapiens (human). RNAcentral describes it as "non-protein coding TEX41:100". The record is from RNAcentral. Lineage: Eukaryota; Metazoa; Chordata; Mammalia; Primates; Hominidae.
GUAAACCUCAGGUUCUCCUCCUGCCUUUUGCUAAGUAUAUGUCUUGAUGACAAGCCUUCUGCUGAUGAGCUGUGUUUCUGGACCGAUCAUGGUAGAAGUCAAUUAACGUGUCCCUCACUUGGGGUUUCUCAAGGACAAGGUCUUAUUAUGUUGCCCAGACUAGUCUCCAACUCCUGGCCUCAAGUGAUCUCCCUGUCUCAGCCUCCCAAAGUGCUGGGAUUAAAGCUGCACUGAUGAGGAAACUGAAACAGAAAAUCCAGAGUAAAUUCCACCAGGCCACACAGCAAGGUCUGAUAGAGCCAGGAGAGACUUUAUGAAAUCCAGACUCUCACACUAAUGCUCUAUCAGCUAGACCUCCAUGUGAGUCUCCCCAAUGUAGGUAGGAAGUGCUUUCCCUAAAAUGCUCAUAAAGCAAAUCAGAGCAAUGCUGCAUUCCAUGUGAUUUCUAAUUUGAAAUGCAAACAAUUGCCAAUUUGUUUGACUUGUAUUUAUAAUUAUUUCCUUGUGAAUUACUCAUCACUAAAUGCUUUA